This is a non-coding RNA of Pelobates cultripes (western spadefoot toad), 893 nucleotides long. NCBI's taxonomy places the organism in Eukaryota, Metazoa, Chordata, Amphibia, Anura, Pelobatidae. The record is from the annotation of a GenBank genome assembly.
CUUUAACGUGGAGCAAACGGGGCAGCUGCCCUAGGCCCAGUUACUCAUGGGGGGCCCAAAGCAGCUGCCCCGUGGGCCCCGCCGCCUGCAUUAAAAAAAAUAGUAAAAAAUAUUUCCCUACCUAAUGGGCCCGCGGUGCUAGCAUAUACUUAGGGCCACCCAGUGAGCAUGUUCCAGCAGGUGUCCGGUCGGCGCUGUGGCCCUUUAACAGCGCUGUGGCCCUUGCUUAACGGCUGCAUGGGAGGAAGUGACGUCCGCGAAUCACUUCCUCUCACCUCAAAGAUAUCGGGCCGCGCAGGAGGCUGCUGAGCCAGGAUCCAGUGAGGAGGGGGAGCAAGCAGAGCCAGACACCCAACUCCCAACUACCCCAGCCAGCACACUGGACCCCAGGGAAGGAAGCCUCUUGCAAAGGUAGGAAACUGAAGAGUUUCUGUCUGUGUGUCAGUCAGUAUGUCUGUCUGUGUGUCAGUAUGUCUGUCUGUGUGUCAGUAUGUAUGUGUGUCAGUCAGUAUGUAUGUCUGUCUGUGUGUCAGUAUGUCUGUCUGUGUGUCAGUAUGUAUGUCUGUGUGUCAGUAUAUAUGUCUGUGUGUCAGUCAGUAUGUAUGUCUGUCUGUGUGUCAGUAUGUCUGUCUGUGUGUCAGUAUGUAUGUGUGUCAGUCAGUAUGUAUGUCUGUCUGUGUGUCAGUAUGUAUGUGUGUCAGUCAGUAUGUAUGUCUGUCUGUGUGUCAGUAUGUAUGUGUGUCAGUCAGUAUGUCUGUCUGUGUGUCAGUAUGUCUGUGUGUCAGUAUGUAUGUCUGUGUGUCAGUAUGUAUGUGUGUCAGUCAGUAUGUAUGUCUGUGUGUGUGUCAGUAUGUCUGUCUGUAUGUCAGUCCAGGGCCGGACUGGCCCACCGG